CCUACGGGAGGCAGCAGUGGGGAAUAUUGCACAAUGGGGGAAACCCUGAUGCAGCGACGCCGCGUGAGUGAAGAAGUAUUUCGGUAUGUACAGCUCUAUCAGCAGGGAAGAAAAUGACGGUACCUGAUUAAGAAGCCACGGCUAACUACGUGCCAGCAGCCGCGGUAAGACGUAGGGGGCAAGCGUUAUCCGGAUUUACUGGGUGUAAAGGGAGCGUAGACGGCAGCACAAGUCUGGAGUGAAAUGCCGGGGCUCAACCCCGGGACUGCAUUGGAAUCUGCCGAACUAGAGUGUCGGAGAGGCAAGUGGAAUUCCUAGUGUAGCGGUGAAAUGCGUAGAUAUUAGGAGGAACACCAGUGGCGAAGGCGGCUUGCUGGACGAUGACUGACGUUGAGGCUCGAAAGCGUGGGGAGCAAACAGGAUUAGAUACCCCUGUAGUC
RNAcentral lists this ribosomal RNA (440 nucleotides) under uncultured bacterium. RNAcentral's name for it is "partial 16S ribosomal RNA". It matches the Rfam family "Bacterial small subunit ribosomal RNA", at positions 338 to 795 of the family's 1533-position model. The record is from RNAcentral.